GCUUACACAGCAGACACAGUUUUUUGAGGUGACACAUAUUCCUAAAAAGAGUUCUUCCAGUCUGCAGCAAUGAUACACCCUUUAAUCAUCGCCAUUGUGACCGUAAACACCUCUCUAACCAUCGUCUACUGGGCCUUCAUGCUGAGUGAUGCUUACUCCAAGUGGCUGAUGGAGCAAGAAGACAAACCCAAGAAGGUGGUCACCCCGGCCUGAGGGAGUCACAGUCAAUAUGGACUGACUUAUUUAUUGGGUGUCUUGGGUUUUUAUUUUGCUUAGUGAGCAAGAGCUGUUCAGCUUCUAGUGCUUUCUGUGGAGUCUGAUUUUGCAAUGGAUCUGCUUGUCUGUGUCACCUGGAGAGGACUUGGAAACUAAACGUACACCUUUUACUGAACUGAAUGGAUCCUGCAAGUGAAAGAGAAAAUCCGUCUUACAGAGCCGUUUGUAUACGACACAUGCCAAUUUGGAAGUCCUUUCAUUUACAAGUCAAAGAAAAGAUCUGUGGAGCAGUAUCUGUAGUCUUGACUACGAGACUGGAUUCUUGGCCCCAAACCAGUGGAGGAUGAUUCAGAGGAAGGGAGAGCAGAAAUAGAAGAAGAGCGCCGCCGACUGAGCAUUUGCAGUAAGCUGAUGGAGAGAGACGGGCUGCAGAUGGAAAAGGACGGACUGCUGCCCGGUUUCUACCAGGGAGACGGAGGCUGCUAUCGUCCAUCCGUCCCUCCUCCACUGAGAUGCUCCAUUCCGGCAUCAUACCCCAGAGAAAAA
This is a long non-coding RNA of Anarrhichthys ocellatus (wolf-eel), 762 nucleotides long. RefSeq lists it as uncharacterized. The record is from RefSeq and is a predicted model, not a curated record. The transcript is spliced from 3 exons. Lineage: Eukaryota; Metazoa; Chordata; Actinopteri; Perciformes; Anarhichadidae.